Molecule: long non-coding RNA, 571 nt
Organism: Callithrix jacchus (white-tufted-ear marmoset)
Lineage: Eukaryota; Metazoa; Chordata; Mammalia; Primates; Cebidae
Source: RefSeq, a predicted model, not a curated record
ACUCCAGGGCUGAUGUCAUGGCGCGAAGCCCGGCGGCGCUGCCCUCCCAGGCCCCGGGACAGCCCGGCCGGCAGGGGGCGGGUUCAGGAGUCACCGACUGCCGGCGCGCCCCGUGCUCGCGCUGCGGUCCCACUGUGUGCCCUGUCGCCGCCACCGCGGAAAACGUCUUGCACAUGUGAGGGACAUUUCAGGGUUUUCCUGUCAGUCGGGCUGGAGUGCAGUGGCAUGUUCUCGGCUCACUGCAGCCUCUGCCUCCCGGGUUAAAGUGAUUCUCCUGCCUCAGCCUCCCAAGGACCUGGGAUUUCUGGAUUCACCCGGUACGCGGGCUCUCCUGGAGUGGAGCUUUGGCUGGCCACGGCCUGGAGCAGCGUUUGUGCAGCACUCCCACAGCCGCCUGCCUGGGCCCGCCCUGGACACAUGCUCAGUGGAAUUCUCCUAUAGCAGCCCAGGGUCUCUGGAACGAAGGUCUCCCAGGCCGAAGCCACGCAAGAGGCGCUCCUGCUCUGGUUUUCAGAUGCACCCUCAUCCUUGACCUCUCCCAGCCCCAGUUCUCUUUGACUUCUCCGGUCCU